UUAGGGGAAUCUUGAGGCUUGAGGGUUCCUAGUGCAUGGAUUUGGCUACAGUGUAGAACUUAAAAUUUCUUCCUUAGAGAUAGGUACCACUUACUCUUGUAAAGCUGAGAUGUCCCUGGGACCAGUCUGCCUUCAUUCUUCUUCUUUUUCUUCUUCUUAUUCUUCUUUUUUUUUUUUUUUUUUUGGUGAGGAAGAUUGGCCCUGAGCUAACAUCUCUUUCCGGUCUUCCUCUUUUCGCUUGAGGAAGAUUGUCACUGAGCUAACAUCUGUAGCAGUCUUCCUCUGUUUUGUAUGUGGAAUGCUGCCUCAACAUGGCUUGAUGAGUUGUGUGUAGGUCCGCACCCAGGAUCCAAACCUGCGAACUCUGGGCUGCCCAAGCAGAGUGCACAAACUUAACCACUACGCCACUGGGCUGGCCCCCUUCAUUCUUGAAUAUGCACUUUCCAUGAGACACAGGACUUUUUGGGCCCUUCUGACGUUGUUAAUAGUGAGUCCAUGUUGACUCAUUCCAAGAUUGGAAUAUCAUGCCUGUCAAAAAGGAGCCAGCAGACCCAAAGUGGAGUCACUUGUGCUAAACCCCAUAUCAGCAAAUCAAGACUCAAUACCUGACCUAAUUACAGUUUGAAGCUCUCUUGGAGUGUAACCUUUGACCAGUCAACUUGGAAUGACCUGGUCAGCACUAGUGAGAUUUAGUGGCAGUGGCAGGACCAGAGGAAACUUUUGAUGGCUUUGGGGAUGAGGGAGACAGGUGUGGUACCAAGGAACCCUGUUGAGUUCUCCGCCUUUCUUGCCAUUUUCAGGGAGAUGGAGGGUAUGGCCAAAAUUAAGAGCUCUAUUUAAUUGACUUAAAACAGUUAUUGUUUUACUCUGAUGCUUUUGCAAAGGUUUCAUCUUCAGAGAGCUUCAUGGAAAGGGCUCUGACACAUGGAGAGUACUCUGACACUCUAAAACACAGGUUUCUGAUAAACUUUCAGAUCAUAAAAUUGAACUGGGUAAGAAGUUACAAAGUGCAAAUGGAGAAACUAAUGACUCUGUGAAACUGCUAACAGAAGAUCAAGAUCAAGAGUUGAUUACAUGAGACUGAAUGAACUGAUGAGAAUGAUUAUAAUUUUUAUGACUUUGAAAUAUUGCUCAUUUUUUAAAUGUUUUUUCCAGAUUUAAGGAAACAUUUUUCUCUUUUAUCUUAA
RNAcentral lists this long non-coding RNA (1187 nucleotides) under Equus caballus (horse). RNAcentral describes it as "lncRNA (ENSECAG00000051203.1)". Lineage: Eukaryota; Metazoa; Chordata; Mammalia; Perissodactyla; Equidae. The record is from RNAcentral.